Molecule: transfer RNA, 57 nt
Filed under: Achalinus spinalis (Peters' odd-scaled snake)
Lineage: Eukaryota; Metazoa; Chordata; Lepidosauria; Squamata; Xenodermidae
Description: tRNA-Ser
Source: RNAcentral
GAGGAGGCCCGAGACCUGCUAAAUCUCCAACCUGUUGUUAACCCACCAGCCCCCUCU